This is a long non-coding RNA of Bombus terrestris (buff-tailed bumblebee), 1119 nucleotides long. RefSeq lists it as uncharacterized. The transcript has 2 exons. Lineage: Eukaryota; Metazoa; Arthropoda; Insecta; Hymenoptera; Apidae. The record is from RefSeq and is a predicted model, not a curated record.
UUUCAUAGUUUCAAAUCUUCUAGGCGACAUUGAUGUUUCAUUUCGAAGAUUAUGUUAAAUUAGAAAAUUAUGUUCAGAUUAUGUUUAAUGUGUGCUAAUAUAUAACAUGAAGAUAACUAAAAUAACAGUAAGUAGCAAAUAAUGUAUUAUCAUCGAUUUUCGUUAAUAACUAAAAAAUACCUCCGUCUUUCUAUUUUCCCAAACAUAUUAUUUCCAAAAAUAAAAAUAUCCUACGCACGGCGUAUGCAAUACAUAUAUAAGGCGCUCCAACUUAUUGUUCAUUUCCUGGGAGUUCUGUGACAGCCGAUUGCGUGAAAGUAGAGAAGGCAUAUAAGUAUGUAUAUCUAGAUAUAUGUGCAUACAAACAGUAUACAACAUAAGAUGCUACAGAAAAGGUAAAUAUUACGGAAGGCAGAAGAAAGACCGAAAUAUCGAUAGAGCGAUGGUUCAAAAGCGUUUCAGAUACAAAAGGAACAGUUUCGAUUGUAUGUAUAUUAUUAUAGUAUAUUAAAUAUAUAUAAAUAUAUACGUGUAUACGUAUAUAUUAUCGUCCAUAAGAAGUGUUUGUCCUAUCUAGCAAUACACUUUAUGAACACACAUUUUUGUGAAUGAUAAUUAUACGUGUAAUAUAUAGAAUAGUUACUGUAUUAAGCGUAACAAAAUAUAUAUAUUCGCGGUUUAAAAGAAUAUAUUAACACGUUGACUGCCAUGCAGAUUUUAUUUAUUUUAUUCUGGAAAUCGCAAUAGAUUGAAAUAUACUAUAUCAUAACAUUUAUUUUUUGGAAAAUAUUAUAUUAUAUCUGUUCAGGUCUUUCUGACAAUUGUUAUCAAAACCAUUCGCGUCGUUGACAAUUUUUUGGUUCAUGAAAUGUACGUUAUUUUAAUCAUUCUACGAAGUUUAAUAAAACGUAGCUCACUGAUGACUAUCGUGGCAACAAACGUGUUAACGUGUAUCUCCUGUCAGAUAUUAUAUAUAUGAUUCAAACUUAAAAUAUUAUUCAGUAUAUAUAUGUGUGUGUGUAUAUCAAUACGUACGGUCCUACUGUUGUAUAGAAUUCAAUAUUGAAGGAAUAAUAACAAUUUCUAGGUUCUUCAAUAUCUGUGCAAUUUCGUGCACAU